RNAcentral lists this ribosomal RNA (1972 nucleotides) under human metagenome. Its description in RNAcentral is "bacterial LSU rRNA". It matches the Rfam family "Bacterial large subunit ribosomal RNA", at positions 1 to 1973 of the family's 2925-position model. The record is from RNAcentral.
UAAAAUAAUUAAGGGCACACAAAGGAUGCCUAGGUAGUAAGAGCCGAUGAAGGACGUGGUAAGCUGCGAUAAGCCUAGAUAAGUUGCAAUCGAACGUAAGAGUCUAGGAUUUCCGAAUGGAGCAAUCUAUUAAGAUGGAGUCUUAAUACGAAAGAGGGAACCGCGUGAACUGAAACAUCUAAGUAACGCGAGGAAAAGAAAGUAAAAACGAUACCCAAAGUAGCGGCGAGCGAAAUGGGUCAAGCCUAAACCUUAAAUAUGUCAAGGAUACAGCCGUUGUAUUUAAGGGGUUGAGGGACAGAGUAGUGAAGAACUGUAAGAUAUUCAAUAUAGUGUAUUGAUGAAUUGGAAUUGUCUGGAAAGGCGAACCGUAGAAGGUGAAAGUCCUGUACAAGUAAAUCCUUACACAUAUAACUCUGCUCCCAAGUAACAUGGAACACGAGGAAUUCUGUGUGAAUCUGUGAGGACCAUAUCUCAUAAGGCUAAAUACUCUUACUAACCGAUAGCGCAUAGUACCGUGAGGGAAAGGUGAAAAGAACCCCUGGAGGGGAGUGAAAUAGAACCUGAAAUUGUGUGCUUACAAGCGGUCAGAGCCAGUAAUGGUGAUGGCGUGCCUUUUGGAGAAUGAUCCUGCGAGUUACGUUAAACGGCGAGGUUAAGUAUAACGGAGCCGAAGGGAAACCAAGUCUUAAUAGGGCGAUUUAGUCGUUUGGCGUAGACGCGAAACCUGGUGAUCUAAACCUGUCCAGGAUGAAGCUGUGGUAAGACACAGUGGAGGUCCUAACCCACCGCCGUUGAAAAGUUGGGGGAUGAGGUAGGUUUAGGGGUGAAAAGCCAAUCGAACCAGGAGAUAGCUCGUUCUCUCCGAAAUGUAUCUAGGUACAGCCUUGAGUGUUCAAUUAUGGGGGUAGAGCACUGAAUGAUCUAGGGGGCGUAUUGCUUACUGAAAUCAAUCAAACUCCGAAUACCAUAAUUUAUAGCUCAGGAGUGAGACUAUGGGAGUUAACUUCCAUUGUCGAAAGGGAAACAACCCAGACCACCAGCUAAGGUCCCUAAUUAUAACUAAGUGGGAAAGGAGGUGGAGAUUCACAAACAACUAGGAGGUUGGCUUAGAAGCAGCCAUACCUUUAAAGAGUGCGUAAUAGCUCACUAGUCGAGAGUCUCUGCGCCGACAAUGUAACGGGGCUAAGUUAUAAACCGAAGCUGUGGAAUCCGUAAGGAUUGGUAGGAGAGCGUUCUGUAGGCCGUUGAAGGAGAAGGGUAACCGACUCUGGAGGUAUCAGAAGUGAGAAUGCAGGAAUAAGUAGCGAGAAAGGGGGCGAGAAUCCCCCUCGCCGGAAGACCAAGGUUUUCAGGGUAAAGCUUGUCUUCCCUGAGUAAGCCGGGACCUAAGCCCAGGCUAUAAUGCGUAGGCGAAUGGAAAACAGAUUAAUAUUUCUGUGCCAGUCAUAUAUUGUGAUGGAGGGACGCAGAAGGGUAUGUGCGCGGACGAACGGAAGUGUCCGUAGAAGUAUGUAGGAUGACUUGAUAGGUAAAUCCAUUGAGUUAUAUCUGAGGUAUGAUAUACAGUCGUAAGAUGAAUGUGCAAAUCCCACGCUGCCAAGAAAAGCUUCUAACGUUAAUAUUUGACUGCCCGUACUGCAAACCGACACAGGUGGUCAGGAUGAGAAAUCUAAGGCGGACAGGCUAACUCUCGUUAAGGAACUCUGCAAAAUAACCUCGUAACUUCGGGAGAAGAGGAGCCCUUGAGGGUCAGUAUCCACGCGAUACAAAGCGCUCGAGGGUCGCAGUGAAGAGGCUCAAGCAACUGUUUAACAAAAACACAGGUCUAUGCUAAGCUGGAAGGCGAUGUAUAUGGGCUGACACCUGCCCAGUGCUGGAAGGUUAAGAGGAGGAGUGAGAGCUCCGAAUUGAAGCCCCAGUGAACGGCGGCCGUAACUAUAACGGUCCUAAGGUAGCGAAAUUCCUUGUC